UGCUGAUGUGAAAAUACAAUUAUAGUGUAACUGGUCAUGUUAUAACUGGCGACCUUGGUAAGAGAUUGCAGAUGCUUAUUUCUCUUUGCAUGACUAAUAUCAUUGUUAAAGAAGAUAAAGCGUCCGAUAAUAUUGUUUUCAAAUGUACAUAGAGCUUGGAAUAAAAAGCUAAAUUGGUAAUUCUACAGAUUCUUUUACAGAAU
This 203-nucleotide long non-coding RNA is filed under the name Mytilus galloprovincialis (Mediterranean mussel). Lineage: Eukaryota; Metazoa; Mollusca; Bivalvia; Mytilida; Mytilidae. The record is from RNAcentral.